This is a long non-coding RNA of Leptinotarsa decemlineata (Colorado potato beetle), 600 nucleotides long. RefSeq lists it as uncharacterized. NCBI's taxonomy places the organism in Eukaryota, Metazoa, Arthropoda, Insecta, Coleoptera, Chrysomelidae. The record is from RefSeq and is a predicted model, not a curated record.
UAUUGCAUAUGCAUUCAUUGCAGACAUUUUAGUUUUUGAGUUUUCCUAAAAGUGCACUAAGAGUUCCAAAUUAAAUUUCAUAUUCAAAAUUCCCGUUCUUUCACUUUUUUGAUAAGUGUAAAUAGAAUAUAUGGAACGAGAUCAAUGCUUAUUUUGGAAGAUCACAAGUUCUUUUGUGAAAUUUCACAGCAACUUCAACAAUGGAAUUUUAUCCUGAGGUAACUGGCUUCUCAAAUUUGAAGAUAGAGCUGUGUACUGCUUACAUUCUGAUAGGGAUGAAUGGAUUGAUUCAUAGCGUAGUUAGUUGUAAUUGGAGAGCUGUCCAUUAAUUAGCCCAUCAAUGGAAUCGUUGCAUAUUCUUCAAUUACAGAAGAAUUUCUGCACAAGAAAUGAUGAGAUUGUGGGCCUAUAAUACAGAAUGAAUCAUCAACAUGUAGAUACACAUCUGGAUGAUGUAGGCGGUGGUAUAACAAGAAUGCAGAUUAAUUUGAAAUGUAAUUUCUAUUUUCAUUGAUGUAAAUAUUUUGUAUCGAUCUUAGUGUGACAUAUUUUCUCAUGUAAAUGAUUGAUUGAAUUAAAAGUACAUGCAUUUGUUUGGAA